UCCUUUAACGAGGAUCAACUGGAGGGCAAGUCUGGUGCCAGCAGCCGCGGUAAUUCCAGCUCCAGAAGCGUAUAUUAAAGUUGUUGCAGUUAAAAAGCUCGUAGUUGGAUCUGGGUCGCAUGGCUUCGUGCCGUCGCUUGCAUUCUCGUUCUGAGCAUUGCUUGUCGGGUUUGUUAGUCGGCUUCGUAGCUGUGCAGCCUUUCUGCCGUGUCUGUUUCGACAGGUGCUGAUGGUCAAUCCGUUGGCAUGCUUCCAGAUGCCUUUAACCGGGUGUCGGGGGCGGACGGCACGUUUACUUUGAACAAAUUUGAGUGCUCAAAGCAGGCCUAUGCCUGAAAAAUCUUGCAUGGAAUAAUGGAAUAGGACUUCGGUUCUAUUUUGUUGGUUUUCGGAUCCGAAGUAAUGGUUAAGAGGGACAGACGGGGGCAUUUGUAUGGCGGUGUUAGAGGGAA
Molecule: ribosomal RNA, 452 nt
Filed under: Gynaecotyla adunca
Lineage: Eukaryota; Metazoa; Platyhelminthes; Trematoda; Plagiorchiida; Microphallidae
Description: SSU rRNA
Rfam family: Eukaryotic small subunit ribosomal RNA
Source: RNAcentral